GAUGAACGCUAGCGGCAGGCCUAACACAUGCAAGUCGAGGGGCAUCGCGGUGCAGCAAUGCACUGGCGGCGACCGGCGUACGGGUGCGUAACGCGUAUGCAACCUGCCCCGCACCGGGGGAUAGCCCGCCGAAAGGCGGAUUAAUACCCCAUGGUCCCGGGGGCCCGCAUGGGCAUCCGGGUAAAGCCUUGGCGGUGCGGGAUGGGCAUGCGUGCCAUUAGCUGGCUGGUGGGGUAACGGCCCACCAGGGCAACGAUGGCUAGGGGGUCUGAGAGGAUGGUCCCCCACACUGGUACUGAGACACGGACCAGACUCCUACGGGAGGCAGCAGUGAGGAAUAUUGGUCAAUGGGCGGAAGCCUGAACCAGCCAUGCCGCGUGCAGGAUGACGGCCCUACGGGUUGUAAACUGCUUUUCCCCGGGGCGAAUAACCCCCUCGCGAGGGGGAUGCCGGUACCGGGGAACUAAGGAUCGGCUAACGUCCGUGCCAGCAGCCGCGUAAAAGUCACGUCG
RNAcentral lists this ribosomal RNA (512 nucleotides) under uncultured bacterium. RNAcentral's name for it is "bacterial SSU rRNA". It matches the Rfam family "Bacterial small subunit ribosomal RNA", at positions 28 to 530 of the family's 1533-position model. The record is from RNAcentral.